This 72-nucleotide transfer RNA is filed under the name Camelus ferus (Wild Bactrian camel). It matches the Rfam family "tRNA". From Rfam's summary of the family: Transfer RNA (tRNA) molecules are approximately 80 nucleotides in length. The record is from Rfam by way of RNAcentral. Lineage: Eukaryota; Metazoa; Chordata; Mammalia; Artiodactyla; Camelidae.
GAGGGUAUAGCUCAGUGGUAGAGCACAUGCUUAGCACGCACGAGGUCCUGGGUUCAAUCCCCAGUACCUCCA